AACAUCGCGCACCUGCGGGAACCUGCGGAAGGAUCAUUACAGAGUACUAUACUCAUAACCCUUUGUGAACCUUUAUAACUUGUUGCUUCGGCGGCGCGAGCCCCUCGGGGAGCGUGCCCGCCGGCGUCAUCAGAAUCUCUGUUCGAACCCGACGAUACUUCUGAGUGUUCUAAGCGAACUGUUAAAACUUUCAGCAAUGGAUCU
This 204-nucleotide unclassified non-coding RNA is filed under the name soil metagenome. Its description in RNAcentral is "partial contains 5.8S ribosomal RNA, internal transcribed spacer 2, and large subunit ribosomal RNA". The record is from RNAcentral.